AUGGCGACGACGACGACGCCGUCGCUGCCGUGCGCCGUCUUCGACCACGGCACCAUUCUGCAGCGGACACCGGCGACGGUGAGGAGCACCAAGCGCGCGCGGAGCCAUGGCGCGCCGUCGACGACGCUACCAGACGACGCCCUUAUGGAGGUUGCAUGCAGCUGCAAUAGUGGAGUAGUUGGACACGUCCUAAACAAACCACAAGAGAGAAGGUUGAGCUGUGAGAGACAGCCAAGAAGAAGAAGAAGGCGCUGCGAGGAGGCGGCGCCAACAGCCCUCCUGGAGAUCUUCGCCCGGCUGCCGGCCAAGUCGGUCGGCCGCCUGCGCUGCGCGUCGCGCUCGUGGGCCGCCACGCUCACGUCGGCCCCCUUCGUGGACCUCCACCUCCGCGAGGCCAACCGGCGUCGGCAGCCGACCCCCAAGCUCUUCUUCACCACGGCACACCCGGACAACAUAUGGCAACACGACGAGGUCCUCACCAAGCCCUGCCAUGGCCUCGUCCUGAUCCGCGGCCUGCCCUACCACCGCCACUUCGUCUGCAACCCGAGCACCGGCGCGCUCCUGCCCCUCCCCGACAGCCGCAUGUCCCGGCGGCUACAGCCCGGCCACCAAGGAGCACAAGGUGGUGCGGCUCUUCUCCUCCUUCCGCUCCACCCCCUGCUGCGAGGUCUUCUCGCUCGACGUGUACGACGAAAACAUGGCGGCAGCAUCGUCACCUUCGACGUCGGCGACGAGACCUUCGGUUCGCUGAGCACGCCUCCGUCGGUGGAAGACGACGACAGUCCGCCCGAGCUGGCGGUGCUGGGCGGACGCCUGUGCCUUUGCGUCUUCCAUGAACGUCGACCUCCCACUCGCAGCGACGCCGAUCCUUACUGCAUCUGGCGGCUGGCCUGCCGAGAGUCCGAGCAGUGGGAGAAGCUCUACCACGUGCUGCACCCACAGACCCUCAGGCCCGAGCUCGACCUGCUGCGGGUACACUGGGUCUAUCCCCUCGAAACCUAUCUCGCGGGCAACGGGCAGAAGAAGAUCAUGUUCGCCACGGAGGAGGGCGUGCUGGCGUUCGACCUCGACGGCAGCGGCGUCCCGGUCCCGGAGGUGCUGGUCUCGCCGACGGAGCUCGUCUCCGCCCGCGACGACGACGAAGAAGCCACGAUCACCCGCGGCACCGUGGGGUUGCUGGAGGAGAGCCUCGUGCCCGUGGGCCGGACGAGCGAGGAGGUGAUCUUCUCGUCACCGUGGAGGAAGGCGUGGUCGGACGUCCUCAAGUGGAUGCCGGCGCAGUCGGUCGCCGCCCUGACGUGCGUGUGCAGAGAGUGGCGCGCGGUGGCCGAGACCGACCGGUUCGUCCGGACGCACGCGCUCCACGCGAACCUCAAGUGGAGCCUGCGGGUCAUGGUCGUCCAGGCCCAGCCCUACACCCACGUGCUCGACUUCUACCCGCUGGAGCUCUGCGAGAGUUUGCAGGUGCGGUACGACGUCGCCGACAUGGCGCCGCCGUUCCUGUUCGACCACCACGUGUGGAGGACGGUGUGCUCCACGCCCUGCCACGGCCUCGUCCUCGUCAGCUACACGCAGCAGGCCGGCUCAGGCUCAGGCGUCGUCAAUUUCAUUUGCAAUCCUAGCAUGGAGUACAGCAGGCUUAUAAGAACGGAUACGCUGGACGACGACGACGACGACGACUCUCCCCGUCAUUCUGCAGCUGGCACGAUGGGGCUGGGGUACGAUUCGCGGACAAACAAGCACGUGCUGGUACGCCUCCUCGUCGUCUGUCGUGGCAGGAGUCGUCGACAUCACCAGCCGGCGGUGGUCAAGUGCCACGUCCAGUUCGUAGGCGCCACGACGUGGAUCCCGAUCAGCCCUCCGUCAAGGCCGCCGGCGGUCGACAUGCAGCCCGCCUACGCCGACGACAAGCUCUACUGGAUGGUAGAGGACGACGACGGUUCAAGCUGCGAGCUGCUGGCGCUUGACGUCAGCACGCGGGAGUUCGAGGUUUUGCCAGGGCCCCCGUGCGGCCGUGGUCGGGUCACGUCCAUCGUCGAGCUCCAAGGUAGCGUGUGCGUCCUGUGCUCGGACACGGGCGCCAACGCCAUCGACGUCUGGAAGCGGCUGGAAGGCGGUUCUUGGUCGGCAUGGCCGCGCCGUAUCGAGCUCGGGGAGUUCCGGCGGAUGUACCCAUCGGAGGAGACUAGGCUGUUGGCUGUUGACCCCAAGGACGGGAGGGUGCUUCUCAGUACGGGGAGGGCGUUGGGAUACUACGACCCCGAGGCACGGGUGGUGCAGACCGUCUACUGUGUUGGAGAACACCUGCAGGACAUGAGGUGCCCACUGUUUGGUCAUGCUCCUUCACAUUCUCGUGUGAACCAAUGGUUCGAUCCAUUUUGGCAGCAACAGAUAACUUUGUUGCUAGCUGCAGAUAAUGAGGGUCCGAGUACAGGAUUUCCCACGCAGAUAACAUGCUGCCAUCUUUCUCCACACCCCCUGCAUAUCAGACCACAUAGCGCGGCCAUGGGCAGCCCGCACUGUCCUGGCCAUGGGCAGCCCGGCCCGGACGGCCCGACCCGACCUGGCCUGAAGAAGCCCAACCCGGCCCGACUCGACCUUGCACACGGGUCGGGCCUGGGCCUAGAAUUCGAGCCCGACGGCCGGGCCUGGGCCUGUCAUUUUUGCCGUUUAAGGAAGAGGCCCGGCCUGUGGCCCGAGGCCUGGCGGGCUUCUAGUGUGAUGGGCCGGGCUUGGGCCCAAUAUUUAGACCCGACGGCCGGGCUGGGCCGGGCUCGGGACUGA
Molecule: ribosomal RNA, 2784 nt
Filed under: Triticum aestivum (bread wheat)
Lineage: Eukaryota; Viridiplantae; Streptophyta; Magnoliopsida; Poales; Poaceae
Description: partial small subunit ribosomal RNA
Source: RNAcentral